This is an RNA transcript of Prunus dulcis (almond), 1211 nucleotides long. RefSeq lists it as uncharacterized. The record is from RefSeq and is a predicted model, not a curated record. The transcript has 5 exons. NCBI's taxonomy places the organism in Eukaryota, Viridiplantae, Streptophyta, Magnoliopsida, Rosales, Rosaceae.
GCCUGUGACCCAGCUGAUUGAGGAAGACUUCCAACACAUUCCGAAUUCUCAGGUUCAUUGAAAUUUUAUAUCUUCAAAAAUUUCUUUCACACUUGCCCCCAAUUCCUUAUUUUCAAUGUUUGAACAUGUUUACGGGCCAUUUUUGGCCCUGAACUUUGUUCGGCCGACACUAUGCCAAUUAAGGUUGAAUUUCAGCCCUAUUUUGCCAUAAGCUCAUACCCUCCCUCGAUCGCCCUCUUGAGGCUCCGCGAAGUGGCCCAACUUUUCAGGCGGAUGUGGUGGGAGUCUACCGCCAUCACAGUCGACCAUGUGAUGGUCACCAAUGGUGUAUCUUCUACUAUUCCCAAAGACGGAAGUGCACCACCUGAGCCCGUCUUUAUGUUGACCUCGGGGGCUCCUGCUUUGGUGAUCGACGAUAUUCCGUCCGAACUCCAACUUGAGGUUGGAGAGUCUUCAUCCUUUGUUCCCGUCGAGAUCACCAUGAAUCCAUUAGCGGAGGAUGGAAGAAGCUUGGCCAUGGUUCCUCACAAAGAGGCCCCUCUACCAUCUCAUGAUUAGCCAUUUGGUGACAUUUUUUACUUUCUCGACUAGUGGGAUGCAUCUAUAUCUUCGGCAGAGGCUUCCACUUGCCUUGCCACUUCUUCCACCAUAACUGGGGCCCUACCAGAUUCCGGGGCUAAGGCCCUACUUCGGUCAUACAUAGAUGGAGAUCUCAUGUCCUUGGAGGACAAAGAUGAGAGAAACAAGCUCAAGGCUGCCAUCGAGACUUUGGCUAGGCAGAGCAUUGGGAUUCACUGGGUAGAGCAUUGAGGUGGUGAGUUGAAAUGGCUCAUGCUUUUGAGACGACAACUUCAUUGAUUUGGGGUCCUUGGAGUGCUCUAGUACUGUUGUUGCAGGAUUUCUUUCAAGAAGAAAUGCUUUCACAGGUUCUUAACUGAAGUCCGCACGCUUCCUUGAUUGAAAAGAACCCCGAACUGCGUCUCCAAAAAUGAACAAUGGAAAUGGGGGGAGUACCUGCAAAAGCCACUCCGACGCUCAAAAUAAACGUUGAUUGCUACAUCUUCCAACCACUUAGAAAUACUUGCUCUCCAUGAAGCCAGUCGUGAAUGUGUUUGGUUAAGGUCAGCGAUCCAUCACAUCCGGAGCACAUGUGUAAUACCCUGAAAAAAAUUAAAAGUGGACUUUUGUAUUUCAGUGAAAUAAUAAUAAUA